UUCUUCCUCGUGAGAUUAGCCGUCCAGUAAAUAUUAACUUUUUACUAACUUUAGUUUUUACUCCGUUUUGUGGUAUUUUGAGUAAAUUCCUAGCUAAAAAUAAUCUUAAAUUGUAAUCGGAUACUCCACCGAACACUGUCUAUGACCGUAAUAAGAUUCAUAUACUAGCCGUGUCUUAUCCAACCUCGACAUUG
Cydia pomonella (codling moth) is the source of this 194-nucleotide long non-coding RNA. RefSeq lists it as uncharacterized. The record is from RefSeq and is a predicted model, not a curated record. The transcript is spliced from 2 exons. NCBI's taxonomy places the organism in Eukaryota, Metazoa, Arthropoda, Insecta, Lepidoptera, Tortricidae.